AGAGAGCUUGAGAAGCCCUGCAAAUGGAUGGGCAAAUUGGAGACCUGAGAUGACACACUAAGGCGCAAGGCAGCUGCACAUCCACGGCCAGCCUCGUUGUCUUCAGGGAUUUGUUCAAAGUUCAUUCUGAAUUGUAAGGUAACCACUGCAGAACACGAGCCUUUCCUGGGUAUGUGUGGUUAUUUCUGCCCUUCACGGUCCCACUCAAGUCCUGCCUCCCUCAGGGAGACCUCCCAGACCUCACCAAGCCGUGGGCACGUGGACCAGAAGCCGUGGACCCCAGAGGCUCAUUUAGGGAUCUGCUUUCUGAACCCAGGUCCUAACAUCUGCACUGCAGCGAGCAUUUCUGGUGCCUCAAGUGAGUCACUCCAACUUCCAGGUCAGUGCCCGGCACACGAGGGGUGCUUUUAUUAGAGGUAUUAGGUGAGGCCUCCCUGCAGGCAGUCCACACCCUCAGCUCCCAGAUUUCCACCAGGGUCACCCAGUGGGAAAGGGCAGCUGCCUCUGCAUCCCCAUGAGCCCAGCUCGCCCUCUCUAAGGGACAGGGACCACCAGCCUCACAGUGGUGGGUGGCAACACCUGGUCAUUUUCUGUCAUUCUCCUGUCAUGAUCAGCUCACUGAGAGGCGAUGGAGCACUGAGUGCCAGCAUCUUCCAGCACCAGAGGAGCUGACUCUGAAUAGACAGCUCGGCAGCGGCCUCAGCACAGAGCAGGGGAGCCACCAGCCACAGGCAGCCACUGAGCCCUUGGCAUGUAACCCGGUAACCCAUGCAACAGAAGACCUGAGCGUCCAGUGUUGCUAGCUUGAAGUAACUUCAGUGGUGUUCCCCAGCGUUUUUCUCAUCCCCCUCCCUUCCCUUCCCCUACAGCUUUCUUCCUCUUUCCCCUCCUUCUGAGUCUUUCGUCCCCAGUCCUGGGAACCUUUUUUCUGACUUGGUGUUUUCUCCUGAAUGCCUCCUUCCUGGCCCCCUAAUCAGAAAUGCAGAAGCCACCUGCCCCACACAGGGGGCCACUUUCCCUGCAUCUGGCACUCACCAGGACAGUCAUAGAACUGGCCUUGGGUGCUUGGGGAGAGUGGAGAGGUCUGGGGGGCAUCCACUGGCCUCAGCCUCAGAGCUUCUCAUCAGUAACCCAGGAGGCAAAGGCCCAGCUCAAGAUUAGCCCAGGCCACUGUAUCUGUGCCAAGACCUACAGCUGUCCCUGCAGGGCGUGCAUCUCUGCAGCCCAGGCUAUCACAAUGGUGUCCCUUUUGGUGGGGAUGUGAGGCCUGCUGCUGCCUGGGAAGAAGCUGACAGGAUUGUUGGUGCUGUGGGGAGAAGCUGGUGUAACUGAGACCCAUGAGGGAGGCCCUUUGUGGGUCUGUGGCUGGGAGGAGCUCUGGGGAAGAUGGGCCUUGAGAAAUCCCAGCUUAGCACCUUUGACAGUUGCUCCACUGAGUCACCCUAGACUGCAAUCUCACAGAUGUUCUAACCACCCUCUCCCUGGGGAGCCCUUGGGGGUGCUGCAAGCCCAGUCCUCACUCACUGGCUUUGUGCUUCUCUUCCCGACUUCCUUUUUUUGCUCCUGUUGAGAAAUGUGGGUCCAGGGCUGCGUGCUCCAGUGUGCGGAAGGAAGGGCAGCGUGCUCUUUGGACUGAGCUGGCUCAAGGGAAGCUGGGUCUGAGGGGAGACUGACCUCGACCCUUCUUAAAUGAAACACCUUUUCCCUGCGUCUCAGUCACCGUUACCUGGCCUGAUCACUGUGUGCCACACCCCAUCACAUCCAUCCCCACAAGAAUGCCAGGAGGAGGGGUCAUUGGCCUUUUUGUCAGCACAAACCUCUGGAGGCCCAGCUCCCAAGACCCGCCAGGCACACCUGCCAGAGUGCCUUAACUUGGGAUGUCUGCAAACCUCUGUCCAUGGCCGAACCCACCCCACUGCCUGUUACUGUAAAUAAAGGUCUAUUAGCAUGCCACCAUGCCCCUCCUCCGAUGCAUACAGUGCCCAGCUCAGCACCUGGUGCAAGUAAGCACAAUCUGGCUUCCAGCCAUCACUGCUGUUGCUACUAACACAAAUAUUAGGCCCCUUCUAGAAUGCAAAGAUAACCCAGGGCUGCUCGUUCUGUGUCCAGAUCACAGAGUUUUUCUUUUUAUCCUUAUCAACUUUAUUGAGGGAUAAUUUACAGGCAAUAAAUCAUAUCCAUUUAAAGUUAUUGUCAAGCUUUUAAAGAAUUAAAGUUCGUCUUCUUCAGAAGCUUACCGAGGACUACAGGCUGUGGCGUAGAGCCCUGGAGCAGCCUCCACUGAGGUUCUGUAUUUCAGGUCACAGUUGACAUAUAGGUGGGAGGUCCAGUACGUGCAAAGUCACAUGAAAGCUUGGGUGUCAGAGUGCAUCAGGUUAUGGAUUCAAUUACAGAGCAAUAAUCACUGACCCUGUCAGAUGUUAUCUUACGUGUAGGAAAAGGUAAGACCAGGGCCAUUUAUCUGCAAAGAAUAUAGUGACUCAGGCAAGAGUCCGGAGAGGGUGUGUGCUCCAUCCUGUUUUGUCUUCAGAGCAUCUUUCUGGGGAGCUGCACAUCGUUAUAGAGACAGGCACUUUGUGAAAUUCUGCUGCCAAGCACAAAUGAGCAAACGUGGUUUCCUAUGUUUACUACUUUGUCUCACAAAGCGCACAUUCACAGUGCAUUAUUAAGGGGCCCUGGCAGCACCGCCACAGUGUAUCUCUGCUCCCUCUUAAAGUUCCCCGUGCCCCUUGGCAGACAGGCCCCUCUCACUCCUGGGCCCAGGCUACCAUUGACCAGCUUUUUGCCACUAGAGGUUAAUUUUCAUUCUAUGUGAUUGGAAUCAUACAGAUGUUCUUGUAUCUGACUUAUUUCACUCCACAUAGUGAUUCUGAGAUUCAAAUGUUGUGUGUAUCAGUUGUUUGUUCCUUUUUAUUCCUGAAUGGGAGAGGGGAUGUCAAGCUGCACAGUUUUAUUCCUGGGCUACAGUGGAGAUGGAUGGUUCUACCGUCUCUCUGAAACACCAUCUGCAGUUUCUUCAAAAUCUACCUACACAUCUUCCAUCCCAUCCUGAGGAGUCCCCGAGGGUUGAGAAAUGCAUGACCCCACACCUGGCUGACGUGUACAACUGGCGGAGUUAGUUUUUCCUGUUGACACUGGCCACGGGCGCCUCAGCAUGCACAGCCCUGGCCUUGCUCCUCUAGGCAUGCUGGGGGCUUGUCCACACGUGUGGUCUACGGAUGGAGGAGAGUGGCCUCUGGCCCAUGCGUGCCAUGCACUGGACCUUCCCAGGGAAUCAAGUUACAUGAUGUUUCCUUGAGGAGCUACAUACAAAGUAAAAAACUGAAAUCAAGAAUAUCAGUCAUUUCUGAAUAUGCCAAUUCGCCCAUGGUGCAGUUUGUACAGCUUAAUCACUGCAGAACAGUUUUGAGGAUAAAAUUAACCAAAAACCUAAGUAGACAAAAUAUUCAAAUUUUUGGAAUCUGUCACAAAAAUCCACAGAUGACUUAUUUUCCAUUGUAGCUUAUAAUGUCCAAAAGCCUUUCUAGUGACUUAUAACUGAUGGUGAGCUCCCACUCUGUGGCAGCUGUGGGACACUGGUCUAAGGACUACACCCUGAUGCCUGGUGAGUUACAGAGGCCAUGAGAAGAUGUCAGUGAACCUGAAAGCCAGGGAGAGGCUGUGUUCCUGCCGGACUGUGGGGCUCCUUCGCUCCCCUGCUGUGGCCCUUGGUCAGGCCACUUUCCCUCUCUGGGUGUCAGUGGCUUCAUCUACGAAGUGAUAAAAAACUAAUGCAAACCAGAGCAAAAUGAGAUAACACGGGGACCCCUAAUGUCCCAGGGAGAUGGUGAACUGAAGCACCGCGUGCGGUGAGUUGUUGCUGUCUCCACCCCUCAAGGAGACCGCAGCUUUGCAGACGUGUGGGUCCCAUCAUCGGCCCCAUUCUACAUUCCUCCCUGUGUCCCUGCCAUCGCCAGGUGACUUUGCUGGGCCCUCCCACCGCCCUAACUCCCAAUCCCAAGAUCUUCAGUGAACGUGACGCGCACAGCAGAGGCCCAGAAUGUAUGUGUGCAUGUGGUGACAGCUAAGCCUGCCUGGAGCAGAGCCCCAACCCUGCAGCAGCUCAAACAAGCUGAGAUCAGCAAAUGCACAUCUGACUCUCAGACAUGGGGGCAAUAAUAAUAAAUGCUGUUUGAGUUUUGGGGUCUUUGGCUACACAGCAAUUGCUCACCAAUAUGACAGGGUUGUAUGACGUGGCCAUGCGGAACUGUAUUAUAGGGGAAGUGGUGAACAGUGUGAUGAGAUUUUAAAGAGGAACAGAUUUACCACUGACUUUAGAAAUCAUGGAGGAGAAAUCUCUGGGGUUGCCCUUGAAGGGUGUGUGGAGGAGGACAUGGGAGAAGGGGGAAGAACCGUGGCAUCCUGGCUAAACAGACACAGGGCAGAGGGAGCCUCUGUGUUGGGACUAAGAUGGGGAUGUCGGGGAAGGGACAUGGCAAGCUGACUGUUGGUG
RNAcentral lists this long non-coding RNA (4492 nucleotides) under Homo sapiens (human). RNAcentral's name for it is "HSALNT0265636". The record is from RNAcentral. Lineage: Eukaryota; Metazoa; Chordata; Mammalia; Primates; Hominidae.